GGAGUCAAUUAGCUAAAGUUGUUAGAAUUUAAAUGUGGGGUAAGUAAAUCAAUAUAAAGGAAAAAGUUUGGUAUUGGGUAAAGAUAAAAUUAAGAAAGCAAUAAAUAAAGUACCGUGAGGGAAGAGAAGAAAUAAAUGAAAACAAAUUUAGGAUAAAGUAGAUGUAGUAUCGUACCUUUUGUAUCAGGGUUUAUUAAAUAUAGGAGGGGAAUUCUAAAAUCUCGAUGUAGGGAGGGCUAUUGUGUUAUAUUAAAUAAGGUGGCAAACUUAUUGGGCAUAAUGAGAUAGCAACGAAAAGUUAAGCGAUCCUUAUAGUUUCUAGUUUCUUAAGAAAUGAAUUUAAUUCAGGAAUAAUUAGAAUUUUGGGGAUUGAGCCCAGGAUUUACAAUUAUUCUACUAAUCUGAGGGAUAAGCUUUGGGUUAGGAUUAAAACUGAACUUAAACAGAAAAAUCUGUAGGCUUGAAAGUAGCCAUCGUUGAAGGAUGUUAUAAUUUAUUUUUUGAGGAUUUAAUUUUAUUGGGUUUAAAGAUUUAUUAAGAAACCAUUUUUAAUUAGUUAAAUGAGGUAUAAUGAUAAAAUAAGUAGAAUGACAAGAUAAUGGUAGUAAUUUUAGUAAGGAACUCGGCAAAUAUAGUGCUCGCCUGUUUAUCAAAAACAUCGCCUUUUGGGAAAAUAAAAGGUCUGACCUGCCCACUGAAAAUUUUAAAGGGCCGCGGUAUUUUGACCGUGCAAAGGUAGCAUAAUCAUUAGUCUUCUAAUUAAAGGCUGGAAUGAAUGGUUGGACGAGGUACUAGCUGUCUCACUAAAAUAGAUUUGAAUUUAGCUUUUUAGUCAAAAGGCUAAAAUGUAGUUGGAGGACGAGAAGACCCUAUAGAGCUUUACGUUAAACUUUUUUAAUUUGUUUUGUAAGACUUUGAUUUUAAAAUUUAAACGUUUCGUUGGGGUGACGGGAAGAUAAAGGAAACUCUUCUUAAAAAUUUGACAUUGAUGAAUGGUUAAUUGAUCCAUUAAUAGUGAUUACAAGACUAAGUUACCUUAGGGAUAACAGCGUAAUCUUUUUUGAGAGUUCUAAUCGACAAAAAGGGUUGCGACCUCGAUGUUGGACUAAGGGUUAUUUUUGGGUGUAGCAGCUCAAAGUUUAGGUCUGUUCGACCUUUGAAUCCUUACAUGAUCUGAGUUCAGACCGGCGUAAGCCAGGUCGGUUUCUAUCCUCAAUUAAAAGGAAUAUUUUAGUACGAAAGGACCAAAUAUUUAAGAUAAUCUUAAAUUGUGAAUAAUAAUAACAA
RNAcentral lists this ribosomal RNA (1287 nucleotides) under Cinygmina sp. 07BF96. RNAcentral describes it as "16S ribosomal RNA". The stretch from base 592 to 1287 matches the Rfam family "Archaeal large subunit ribosomal RNA", at positions 1423 to 2854 of the family's 2987-position model. Lineage: Eukaryota; Metazoa; Arthropoda; Insecta; Ephemeroptera; Heptageniidae. The record is from RNAcentral.